GGGCAGCCUCUGGGCCCUUGGCCUCAGUCAGCAGUCAUUGCAGUGGUGGUGGUGCUGCUGUUGUUGAUCCCCUUGUCUGCCGGGAUCCUCUGGUUCGUGUUCUGCAGAAAAAAGAGGGCCUUGCCCAGCAAAGCCGAGGAGGAUCACUACACAGAGCUCCAGCCAUAUGAGAAUGUACAUGGGGAUAAUUACUGCGUGAUCAAGACUUUUCUUGAGAAAGACGCAGGAGAGUCAGAGCAGGGAGGAAGAAGAGCAGCUGGAGUGGACAUCUGAGGACAUCUGAGUGAUGGCACUUCCCUUCUCAAGGCUUGGUCCUCCACCACCAGAAACACUGAAUCAUCUCAUGGGUUACUGCUUCCCCCCAGAUUUUCUUCUUCAUCAAACUCCAGAAUCCUCUGUCACAGCACAGGAGCAGCUCAAGGCAGGGGAUGACCUGCUUGUGCCAGCAAGGAUAUGUCCUGGUAGUUCUCUAGUGCUCCGGCAUAGCCAUCUCACCAGCAUCUUGGUGCCUGCAAAUGUCCUCUGAGAAUGAAGCAGCUCACAACUCCUCUUUUCACCCUGUGUUCUUGUACCCAUCUAGACCCUGUCCUCUGCUUGAGUUUGGCCUAGCUGUGCUGCCCUGGCCGCUGUGCUGCUGUGUCUGAAACAACCAAUAAAUUGUUCUGGUGUGCAGAUGCUGCCUGGCCC
This is a long non-coding RNA of Sturnus vulgaris (Common starling), 687 nucleotides long. RefSeq lists it as uncharacterized. Lineage: Eukaryota; Metazoa; Chordata; Aves; Passeriformes; Sturnidae. The record is from RefSeq and is a predicted model, not a curated record.